AUGGAAAUCCCACCAACUCACUACCCAGCCUCCAGGGCGGCCUCAGUGUUGGAGAACUGCGUCAACUACCAGCAAGGGACCACCCCCCCCCCCACAAGCUGUUCCUGCUGCAGACAGUGAAGCAAGCUAGCAUGGAGGAUAUUCCAGGAAGAGGGCACAAGUAUCCGUGGAAGAAAUUAAAUUUUCCGUGGAAGAAAUUAUCCAAAAACAAGUUACAGUGAACAGCACUGCUGACAUACUUUACCCUCCCAUGGGUCAAGAAACUGCACCAGAAGUCAUCUUCACAUUGGAAGGAGAUCGUAACAAGAACCCCGAUGAAGAAGACAACACAUUUUAUCAAAGACUCAAGUCCACGAAGGAACCUCUAGAAGCCCCAAAUAUUCCACAGUUUUGGAAAUAUGUCUUUAGAAAUGAAGCCAGUUCCACGCUUAGCCUGGGUUGCCUGUGGUUGUAUAAUAUGCCGGAAUUCUACUGAAAACACAUGGUAUAAAAUGGUAAAAAUUGAAACUGUCAAGCAAGUGCAAAGAAAAGAUGACUUUAUUGAAUUAGACUAUACCAUUUUACUUCAUGACAUAGCCUCUCAGGAGAUUAUUCCCUGGCAAAUGCAAGUUCUGUGGCAUCCACAUUAUGGCACCAAAGUAAAACAUAAUAGCCGUCUGCCAAAGGAAACACAGCUGGAAUAAACCACGCAGCUGACACUGGGAUGAAGUGCAAACAUGCCCAUUCACUAUAUGUGUGCCAGUCUCAACUAGGAGCUAGUUUAAGGGGCCAAACAAAUCCCAAGGAGUCACUUUGUAGAAAUGUCUUGAUUACAGCAUAGAACUACAUAGAUUCCAUAAUACAAAGUGCCACUACAUAACAAUGUCUUUAUAGUAGUAAUAGUGCUAUGUAUAUUCCAUAAUAAAAAGUUUCAAUUUCAGC
Molecule: RNA transcript, 921 nt
Organism: Nycticebus coucang (slow loris)
Lineage: Eukaryota; Metazoa; Chordata; Mammalia; Primates; Lorisidae
Gene name: latexin-like
Exons: 1
Source: RefSeq, a predicted model, not a curated record